UUUUAUUCAAUACUCAACCAACACUCAUUUUCUCUCAAACCAACGAAAUUUGUUGCUAAAUCAGUCCCUUUAUCAAGCCCCACAUGCCCCAUAAUCCAAUCACAAACAACUUGGAGAGCAAAAAUCAAAAAUCAAGGCAUAAAGGUAUAAAAACCCUAAUUUUCGAAAUCCUUUGAUUUGAUGUUAAUUGUUGAAAUUGAUUUGUUAAAUAUGUGUAAUAAGGAGUGUAUUAAUGUUCUGGGUUGUUAGAUUCAUGACCCAUAACAUCAAAGUGCUCAAAAUCAAAGUUUUUCCAACUUUUAAAAAAAACGAAAUCUGUUAUUUUUAGGCAAAUGUCAGGCCUUAUAUCUCUGUGAUUAUUUAGUCUUUUUGGUGUUUGUAAGUUGUUAUAUGUAGUAUGUAAUAUGCUCUUUAAGGUACAAAAAGAAUCAAGUUCAUAUCUGUUAUAUAUCAAGAGUUAUUCAUGGUCAAAACCCGUUGACCGAAACUGCUCAAGAACACGAACCCAGAAUUUUAUGAACAAUUUCCGUGGUGAACUUUGACCGGAUAUUUCCAGUUAGAUAUGUUGUUGUUAUAUGUAUAUUAUGUAUUAUAGUUGUAGUCCUACAUGAGUUCUACACACUGGAAUUGAUAGAUCACACAAACAUUACAUGGAUUGCAAGUUAUAGAGGUCCAAAGUAGGCACCUCGAACUGUUCUUUGUGAAGAACAGCUCUGACAGCUAUUUUGAUGGCCAAUAUCUCCCAGAUCUGAUGUUGUUAAGCCAUGAUUGUUGUUGGUAAUUAUAGUCUUACAUGAGCACUACAAGACUCAAUUUAUAGAUUGUCCAAAUUCGUUCGGAUGAGAGAGUUAUACUCGGUCAAAGUAGCCCUCUCGAUCACUGCCUUAUGAAAUCUGGGUUGGUGAAGAACACCAUUAGCGACGGUUUCUGUCGCCUAAACCCUAUAGCGACGGUUUUGUAUUAUUUUUAAUUUCUGUAUUUUCCGAAAAUGAUUAAAAAUUAGAAAAAAUUAGAUUUUAAUUAUUAUAAAUACGAAAUAAAUUCUGAAAAAUUAUUUUAAAGUCUGAAAAAUAGUUUUUAAUUAUUUUGGGCAUAUUUCGAAAAUAUUUAAUAUUUUUGGAAUGUAAGAAGUAUUUAAUUUAUUUAAUUACAAUAUUAGAUAA
Molecule: long non-coding RNA, 1163 nt
Filed under: Panax ginseng (ginseng)
Lineage: Eukaryota; Viridiplantae; Streptophyta; Magnoliopsida; Apiales; Araliaceae
Description: long non-coding RNA (PGIN_LNC007196)
Source: RNAcentral